ACAGAGCAUGGAUUUAGUUGGUAAAGUCUUGAAGUUGAUUUGAAUUUGAUUAUAUUGUCUUAAUCAUGAAAAUAUGAUAUAUUUGAUUUAGGGGUAGUAUAUUAAUAAUAUUGAUUCCUAAUCUCCCCAAGAAAUUGGGACAGACCUUUGCUUUAAUUUUUUUUUAAAGGCAGCAAUCCUGUAGUGAACUCCUGCAUGUACAAGAAAAUUGCUAGGGCUAUAACUUCUGCCUGGUGUCAUUACCCUCAUUAACAUCAGAGUCUUGAUAAUAAAAACCCCAGGGCUAGGACUUCUGGCCCAAUGUUGGGAAAUAAAUUCAGCAGCCCUGAAUUUAGUGACCCAGAGAGUCCACCCAUUCAAAGGUGACUCAUUAUAUUCAGUGAAAUUCCUGAACCAAAGGGAAAGCCUCUGUCCCACUGGAAACAGGCCCCCUCUCAUGACUGUUGCUUGUUAGAACUGAACUGAACUUCUCAGAGAAUUCCACAGCCCUCUGCUAAAGAGAGGCAUGUGUUGUGGGAGCUACUGCUUUAGGUACCCAUCCAUCUGAGUGCUGCCUUUCGUCUCAGCAGAGAAGCUUGCUACCUACUACUUCUGUUGGAUACACUCACAUAUUUUACUCUACAAUUAAAAUGUUGAAAGAUAAUGUGCUGAUAUCUCCAUACAAAAGAAUGAAGUUGGACUGUUACCUAAGAAGAUUUACAAAAAGUAACUCAAAAUGGAUCAAAGACCAAAAGAUAUUUAUUCAGCACCAACUGCAUGCCAGGCAAUGUAUUAGGCAUUAGAAAUGAGGAGCAGUAAAGAUCUUGUUAAGAACUCAUCUGAUAAUCAUCUGGAAUCU
Molecule: long non-coding RNA, 838 nt
Filed under: Callithrix jacchus (white-tufted-ear marmoset)
Lineage: Eukaryota; Metazoa; Chordata; Mammalia; Primates; Cebidae
Description: lncRNA (ENSCJAG00000071485.1)
Source: RNAcentral